AAUUCCUUUCGUAACUUCGCGAGUAAGGAUACCUCCUCAUAAGGGGGUUGUAGUGACUAGGUUUGGGUGAUUGUUUUCUAAAAACAUAAGUCUUUGCAAAGUCGUAAGACCAUGUAUGGGGGUUGACGCUUACCCAAUGUCAAAAGGUUAAGAAAGUUGGUGACUUGAUGAUAAAGGAGCCGACGAUCAAAGUUCUGUGAACAGCGGUUAUAACUAUAACAAUCCUAAAGUAGCAAAAUUCCUUGUCGGGUAAGUUUCAGCCUGCACAAAAGUUGUAAUGAUCUGGGCACUG
RNAcentral lists this non-coding RNA (292 nucleotides) under Gossypium arboreum. Its description in RNAcentral is "Bacterial large subunit ribosomal RNA". It matches the Rfam family "Bacterial large subunit ribosomal RNA", at positions 1720 to 2018 of the family's 2925-position model. Lineage: Eukaryota; Viridiplantae; Streptophyta; Magnoliopsida; Malvales; Malvaceae. The record is from Rfam by way of RNAcentral.